AUGCUCACUUUGGCAGCACAUAUACUAACAAUGGAAUGAUACACAGAAGAUUAGCAAUGCCCAUGCACAAGGAUGACAUGCAAAUUCAUGCAGUGUUCCAUAUUUUU
This is a small nuclear RNA of Phyllostomus discolor (pale spear-nosed bat), 107 nucleotides long. Lineage: Eukaryota; Metazoa; Chordata; Mammalia; Chiroptera; Phyllostomidae. The record is from RefSeq and is a predicted model, not a curated record.